This is a non-coding RNA of Elaeis guineensis (African oil palm), 1147 nucleotides long. The record is from RefSeq and is a predicted model, not a curated record. NCBI's taxonomy places the organism in Eukaryota, Viridiplantae, Streptophyta, Magnoliopsida, Arecales, Arecaceae.
CAACAAUGACUGCCGGCUCUCAGACAUAGCAUCGUGGUUGAGGACCCAUCCGACUUGUGGCACCUCCGACUCGACCGAAGGAUAGAGAGAUCAUUCAUAUUCAAAGCCGCUCUAUAUUCAGAGAGCCUUCUACAUCUUAUGUCGUUAUCGGAAUCAUAUGCUGAUUGAUGUCGGGACCGGUGAACGAGUUCUUGAGUUGGCCGUCGGGAGCUCGUGAUGCUACUUCAAAGAUAUUUUUGGAGUACUAUCGAUUUGAGACUCCUCGGGACGAGAAGGUUGGCCGUCGGACCUUCGAGGAGAUGGCCACAUGGAGGCUCUGGGAUGGCCUCUAUAGUCUCAGGCAAUUCACUAUCCAGCACUCUGAUUCUCAGUCACCAUCGGACUAAAGGUCCUUCAUAGAUCACUGGUUGCAGGUGGACAUAUGGUAGGCCCUCUGUGAUCAGUGGAGCAGUGAAGAGUACUCCGAUAGACGACAGAGGGCUCGAUAGAAUCGGACAGCUCAGCAGGAUCCGAUCAGGCAUAUGGACGGCUUGGUCAGCACACAUGUUGUAGCCGACAUAUUGGUAAGAAAUCUAUACCAAAACUCUUCACUAGAGCUGUAAAAACUCUUAUAUGCAUACUUUAAUUAAUUUAAUUUAUUUAUAUAUUUAUUGUAGACAUGACAGUUGGAUCGUCUACUAGACCAGUUAUGGUUGUAGCGGGCCACACACCAGUCCAGGAGGAUUGAUGCGUUACGCGGUGUACAUUGCUGAGAGGUACGGUGAUGACCCAUCUUCUCAAUCCCCUUGAUCCUGAGGGAUGGCUCAGCACCAUUGAGGGGGUGAGUAGGAGUGGAGUCAUAGGAUUCAGCCACAGCUUUAACCCUCCAUUGGCUCGAUAUCUUUCGGCAUCCUCACAAGCCUCGGCAUCUCAGACUUAGAGCGAUAUGCACAUGGAGGAGGUCAUGUAGAGGUUUCUGAGCCAGCAACCUCAGAACCUCCUGGAUGCCAUCCAUGAUAUGAUCGUGGAGCUUCUCGUAGAUCUGCAGCUGCAUGACCGACUGGGCUCAUCAUCCCAGCUAUCACAUCAGGUAAUUAUAUUACUAAAUUUUUUUACUUGUUUUAAGUUUUCAUAUUUAUAUAGAAGCUUUUUAUGUUUAGAUUUGAGU